Molecule: long non-coding RNA, 8761 nt
Filed under: Marmota monax (woodchuck)
Lineage: Eukaryota; Metazoa; Chordata; Mammalia; Rodentia; Sciuridae
Source: RNAcentral
GUUCUGUUGGGAAGUGUCACAUCAGGAGAAUAUCUGCAGUCACCUAUCCUGCUUGGACCCUGAAUGUGCCACCAGCAGUGUUGCCCCGUUAUUUUCAUUGUCUCAGGUGUCCAGAGGAUGGUGACCGGGUCUUUGAAGUUGGUAAUGGGAUUAAUGGGCACAGCAAACUGGGCUAGACAUCUGGUCUGAAUUAGAAAAAAGUAUUGAUUAAUCUUGGAAGGGUGUCCCUAAGGCAGAAACUUUCCCCUUGCCCAGCCCCUCCAGCUUCAGCCUGACUCCCUUUUCAAAAGUUUAAGGAGUGCUCCAGAAUAGUGGCUUCGAAAUAAACCUUCACAUCCACGUAAAAGAUAGAAUUGUUUCCCAUUUCUUAGAGGUGGGGUGGAGUGGGGUUGAUCAGGAAUUCUGAGAUUUGUAAGUGCUGCUUUCUUUAACGGAAAUUGAGCCCUAUUUUGAGGGAAAUUAGUUUUGCAGACUUCGUUUAAAAAAAAAAGAAAGAACUAAAACUUUUGCUCACCAGCUGCUCAACUCCUCAGUCUGGGUCUGAGCUGGGACCUGCAGCAAGCUUUUUGACGGUAAGACUUUUUGCUGAUAUUUGGGGAAUCUAAUAUUGCUUUAGAUUUUGAAAGGGGGUGUGGGGGUUGUUCUUUACUUUGCAAAUUUUAGGGGUUUAACACUGAAGGAUGGCGUUCAGAACUUACAUCUUAAAAAUAUUUAUUCCUGCCACUCCCCACGCCCUUGGCUCUUUAAAAAUAAAGGGGGAGGGUAUUCCUCCAAUAUCGUAGGAAUAGGUUUUGGAUUUUCAUUGUGUUUAUGGUUUCAAUAUGUGUUCUGAUAUUAAAAGUUGAAGUACAAAGAGUAACACUAAACUUCCCUAACUCCUGUAGCUACUCUAUGGCUUCGGGGUAAAAACUUUAAGUUUUUAUUCAAACUAAAAUUUAGGCAACCACCUCAAUAUACAUAACCAGAAAUAUUUACAUAGUACAAUGCUGUCAGCUAGAGGCAAGGCAGAAAGUGUUAGACAAGAUUAACUAAAAAUAGACUUCAUCUGCAGACAUCAGUAAAAAAACAUUCAUAAUGGUUCUUUAAAUUUGCAUUACAUGUGUUUAAAAGAAGUUAAUUAAUAAAUUAAUGAAUUUGAAUUAACCAGUGAGUUGUAGGUAACUAGCAACAAGCAAACAAAAGCUUUAAUCUCCAGGAGCUGUCACUUCUUGAAUCAACCCAGGGAAUGGACUAGCUUUUUUUUUUUUUUUUUCAUUUACUGCAUCAGAUGUUAACAAUGUGUCUAGAAAUUUCUCCACAACCUACCUCAGUCCAUCAACUUCUGUGAGACCAGCAAUAUGGGAAGGAAAAAAAUGAAAGAGAAAAGAGUUAGAAAAAAAAAAUCACUUCCAAAGUCAUGCAAUUAAAAUAAAGCUAGUAAGAAAGACUUUUUAAUUGAAGACACAAGAUAUUUAAUAUCAAUAAAAAUUAUGAAGUCCAGAUUUCUAAUAGAAAGUAUAAAAUAAACAAAAUGUUAUUUGGAUGGGGAAAAAGUGAUACACAGAAAAAAGAAGUGAACGGGAGGAUUUGUUGCCUUUCAGAAUUAAAUGUGACUUUAAAAUUUUCUCUGUAUUUCUAAAUAUGUGUUAAUUAUUCCAUACUUUAAAAAAUCUCAUUUAUUAGAAUAUUUGUAAUAAGGUAGAAUAUUGGUGUUUUAUUCUGUAGGCCACUGAGGUUUGUUUUUUUUUAAUAUAAUAAGAGAGAAAAAAAAAUCCUCAUAGUUCCUAUAAUAGCCACUUCAGUGUUUGUGUCUAUAAAAUUCAAUGGCGAAAGAUGUCUUUUCAGUAAUUAUAUUAAAGAUGAAUGGUAAAAGUUACAACAAUUAUAAAAAACUGUAUAAGUCAUUUUAAACUAUUGAUGACAUAGUAUUUAUGCUAUAUCUACAAUAUAUUAAAUGUCCUGAGGAAAAUAUUAUAUCAAUGUCAACAUACUAUGCAAAGUUUUAAUAUCAAAUAGCCCAUUACAAAGAGACUGAUUAUAUGAAAAUGUAAGCUAAUUAUCUUGUGGAGGAUACUUGACCAAAAUUAUUUUAAAUACAUUAAGUUCUUUAAACUUUUUAAGUAUGUAUACCUAUUGUUUCCUUCACUUAAAAGAAAUGAGAUUCAAUAGUAAAAACUGAGAUAAAACUCACACACACACACACAAAACUAUUUUAAGAGGGAUUAAACAUAUCAAACAUUCCAAAAGUUUAACAUAAAAUCUUAUUUCAAUCUUUAUGAUGAUUCUUUUAAAAGAUGUCAUUCUUCUGUACACCUGUAAUUUGAUAUGAGUAUCAAAAUAUUUAAAAUUAAACUCAUUAAAAGUAUAUUUUGCAUUUUAUUUGAUACAUACACUUUAGUAAUAUAAUCAUAAUACAUGAAUUUAAGUGUGGAUGAAUAAGUUUUAACUGGAAUUUUUCUCUGAAACUUUGUAUAUAGAAAUAUUAUUUCUACUAUAUUUUCACAAGAAAUACUGAUAUGUCCUUUAGUUAUUUUGAAAUUAAGAAUUUUGAUGAUAUAUUCAUAUAUGCUAAGUAGUCAAGGGUGAUUUAUGUGAUUUAUGAUGUACUCCAUUUUAUAUCUGUGUUUUCCAAGAAAUUAUGCAUUAUAAAAUUUCAUGAACAAAUCUACUAUUAUGCUGGAUACUAAUGCAAGCAAUCUACUGAUUCCAUAUACUAUUACAGGUUAUUGAAAUGUUACUGUUUUUACAUAAUACUAAUUGGUGCUUUUAUGAUAAAAUUUGUUACAUUUCUACAUAUGUUAAAAGAAUGCUUAAACAUUACCUCUGAAGUGUGAAGCAGUACACAACAUAUUUGCUUCCUGGUUUCCAUUUCUUUUUAAAUUUAGAUUUAUGAUUUCUUUCAGAAAUUGGUGGUUUUCUUCAAUUGAAGUACCUCAUAGUAAAUGUAACUAUACUAAACCCUAAAUAUAACUCUGCCUUAAGCAAUGAUAUAUAAAAAUUACAACAUUUUAAAAGACAAUGUUCAGAAAACCAGCAUGUUAUGACUGAUAAAAUUAAAAGAUUAAUUAGAAAUUCAAAAUAUAUUCAAUCAUCCAUAAUUCAAUUGCCUUCCACAUGCAUUUUUAAAAUUUAUAAAGUCAUAAUAAUUUUUUCUUUUUCUUUCUCUUUUAUCCUGUGAAGUGUUAAAAUCAGGAAGACAUUGAUUACUUCUCAGAUUUCAAAAAUUUUAACUAUUUUUUUCCACCUGCUCAAAAUCCAGUUACUGGACAGUUAAUUUAUAAUGAUGUAAUUGGGAAAGGACUAUGCUAAAUUCCUACAUUUUCACCUUGUAAGUUGUUUUUAUUGACAAACAUGGGUGUUUUCAAAAUCUCAUAGUUGCAAAUUGCCUCUUUUCCAUAUAUAAAUGGAGGUAUACAAUGACUCUAAUACAGAUAGUUCUAUAAAAAAACACUAUACAUUACAUCAUAUAUUCUCUACCAAAACUCUUAACAAUUACAUUUCUGCAUGCCAUAAAAAGUAUUGCUGUGUUUUUAAAUGGAUUAGAUUUAGAAUGAGUUCAUAAAUCUCAGAGAACAAAAAUUCAAUUGAUACUAAAGAUGGGAAUUCUAGAUAAAAUUUUACUCUUCUGUUUUAAGUUUUCAACUUGAAGAGCUUAGCAUUAUUGAAGUCAUUUUAGUAGUAUGUUAUGUUAUUCUUUUGUAAUUUUAUUUAUCAGACUUCAUCAAUUUUUAGAAUGUUUUAUUUUUAAAGUGGCUUUUUCCCUUUUAGCCUGGGUUUAUGAUUUGAAUUACUAAAACCUCUAGUGUAGCUGUGUUAGUAUAGUUCCCCUAAAAUAUUUAAUUGGACAAUCUACUUUUAUAUGACUCAAACUCAGCAAAGAAACCCAGUUGCCUUUAAUGUCAACAUUUUUUGCUUUAUUCUUAAAAACAUUUCUGUCAUAUCAUAUAACAAAUGAGAUAAAAAGGCCAAAUAUAUGAUGUCUUUUUAAAAUUUUCUGAGUUUAAUAUUAGUACCUCAAUUUAGCUUAGGUUGUUUUCUUUUAAAUAUUUAUUUUUUUUAGUUAUAGGUGGACACAAUCCCUUUGUGUGUGUGUGUGUAUAUAUAUAUAUAUAUUUGGUAUGGUGCUGAGGAUUGAACCCAGUGUCUCAUGCAUACUAAGUGAGCACACUACCUCUGAGCCACAACCCCAGCCAAUAGGUUAGAUUAUUUUUUAAAAGAAGUGAUAUGGAAUAUAUUAUAUAGGUCAAUAGCCAUAUGAAAAAGAGUCAAAACAAGAAUUAAGAUGAUUAAAUGACGACUUUUUACUUAUGUUUUGGUUGACUUAAGUAAUAAGAAAGAUUAUAGGAGAUCAGAAUAGACUAAAGGAAAACCAGAAGAGACUGUUUAGCAGGUAGAAAAAACAGAAUGUAAGAUAACUUUAAUGAUGUGAGAAAUAAUUUAUAUUUGUCAAUAUAAAUAUGUAAAUCAUAAGCCACAUAAACUAUAAUAACUGCAAAAAAAAUCCAGGUGCAUAUCUUGAUUUAACUGGAAUUUUGUAACCUGAAGCUUAUUGUCAUCAAAUUUUUUCUAAAUGUUAUUUAUUUUUUAGAGGAUGAUUUGUGCUAACUUGGGAUAAUAGUAUGUAAUAGGGAAUAAACUGGUUUUAAAUACCUGUCAGUAGCUGAAUGAAAAAAAAAGUAUGGGGUCAACUGUACCCUAAGUGCUUCAAAGCACAAAUAAGACAUUUUGGGUUGUACCUGGGCCCUUGAACUCCUUUCUUGGACCAACAGGAAACAAUUAUUUUCACCCACAAAGGAUACAGACCUGUAAACCCAAUAAAGUUUUCUCUAUACUAACGUUGAGAGGGGUAAAUAUUAAAUAAAUCUUUUUCAACACUUAAAGGGACUGGUAAAGAUUCUUCUCCAGCUGGAAGAAUCUUUUGCAGGGCCUUUCCCCCAGAAUCCGAGUUUCCCUGUAAUCUCUGUGUUAUAAUUUUCUGCCUUGAUCCAGCUUCACAUUUCAAAUUCUUGAUAAUGUAAAUAACCAAAGGACAGGAAAAUAGAACAGUGACUGAAAAUAAGUUAAAACGUGCUGGAAUACUUUGUGAUUAAAAUACAAUAAAGUUUAAUAAUGAUGUUGAAAGAGGCCUGAGUAUGGCAAGUGAGUAAUGGGAAACCUGACAGUUCUUUCCUCUGAUUUAGAGCAUCUGCAGUGAUCUGUGGCAGCAUUUCUGUAAAUACCUUACUAAUGAUGAUUACUGUGCUGGUUACAGUGAGGUUAAUGUUUCUAUGAAGACAUACACAAGGUCAAAUUAAAUAAAGGUGGUCCAUAAUUGGAUAUCAUAACACCUGUAUUUAUUGCCAAUAACUUUAUUAAUAUUCCCUGAUUUGAUAAAGACAGGGAAGUAAAAAUAGGACAAUUAUAACCUUCUAGGACAAUUGCUUCAUUUUUUUUUCCUUCAUUUUACUUAUCAUCUAGGGGCUAGUGGUACCUUUUUAAAAGCUUAUGAGAUGCUUGAUCCCCUCCAAAUCUUGUAUUUAUAGUCACUUUCACAUUCUACACUGUACAGUUAAUGAUGCAAUUAGAUCAGAGUCAGAGACUGAGUCCCAUUGACGUUUUAAGGUAAGAUCUUCCAGUGUGUGGCAUGCCAUUAUCUAAUACACCCUUCCACAACAGCUGGCUCAGGCUUAGCAUUUUCCAAACACAAAGACAAACACAAAACUAUAAAACUCUGCAAAAAUCUCCACUAUUUUAUAUGGAGUGACAAAGCUUAGAAGAGAUAUGAAGAAGCACAUAGAAGCUUGUAAAUGUCACACACUGAAAAUCCAAGGGUGUUGAGUUAGUUGCUGGUGUUCCUCUUUCUGUAACAGUAUUAAACACUUGCCAAUCUACACACAGUUCUGUGACAUAGACACCAUUUUUCUUCAAUAGCAGUUGUUAAAUCACUAUCAUCUGCCACUUAUGCCAAAUAUAACAUAGUUAUGGCUAAAACAAAAAGUGAAUUAGAUCCUUACACUCGACUAGCAAUUACAAUGAUAAAAAAAAAUUAUUACUAAAUUCCAAUUCCAGGUUACUAAGACUCAUGUCAGUCUCUCUACAUAGCAUGAUUGAUAACUCUAUUGCUCAAGUCAGAAGUAGGAAUUCAUUUUUAUAAAGCCCCUACUUCCUUCUCCACUCCCACUACAUGACAUCCAUCAUUAAGAAGAGUAUUCUCAAUCAUAGCUCUUUAAUAUUCAUUAGUUUACUCCUCUCCAUCACGAACAGCAGUAAUUUAUUGGAGCCUUCAAUUUUCUCCCUUGAAUUACACAGUCAUUCCAUGGUAUUCUACCUGCCUAGAAUAUUGAUCCAUCUCCCAGGGGCAGAAUGGAGAGUUGGUUUGAAUCUCAGCUCUAUCACUUUCUAAUUCUGUGAGCGUAUUCAUUUGUUAACUCAAAAGAUAUUAAAAUACAGCUAGGAUGUAGAAUGCAUGAGGCCUGGGAUUCAAUUAUCAGUACUGCAAAAAUAUACAUAUGUGUACAUUAACCAACAGAAUAUAUCAGUAUUAUUAAUGUAUAUAUUAAUAACAUAAUGAAAAAAUUAGAUAGUGUUAUGUGCACGCCUAUCAUGAUAUCUAAUAUAAUCUCAAAUGUUGAAUAAAUUAGGUUACAUUUUAAGCCAUGCUGCCCUUAUGUGGUAUUUAAGUACUUGAAUAUUGACUAUUCCAAAUUAAGAUUCACCUAAAGAUUAAAGUGCAUACCAGAUUUCAAAAAGGUGUUGUGAAAUUAAUGAAGUUUUACAUCAAUUACAUGUUAGAAUUAUCAUUGGAUACAUAGAGCUAAGUAAAGUAUUAUCUAAAUUAAUUUUUUUCUUUUUUAUAUUUUUGGUAUAACCACUAGAACAUUUAAGAUGACAUGUGUAGCUGACAUUAUACUUCUCUUGGACAGUGCUAAGUUAGAGGAUGUCAUUUAACUUUUUUUACUCGUUUAUUCCCUCCCUUGCAAAUAGGUACCAAAUUACAUAUAGGUCUGUCAAAAUGAUGUAGGACCUGAAAUCUUUCUGUAAGUUGAUCCUCUUGACCCCAUGAUUAGAAGCUUCACAAUGUGGUACCACACCUGGAAACCUCCAGAGCAAGAUCUCAAGGAAACACAGGAAAUUCCUGGGAACAGCAAAACAUCCUACUUGAAGACAUUGAGUUAUUCCUCUGUGUAUCAGGAGCAUCAUUGUUAAUUAACUGUUCAUGUGCUUGAAAGAGUUUGCUUGGCAAUGGCCUUUGUGAAGAAAGAACAGUGAGGUGUAUUAUUCAGGAUGCACUGGAUAAUGCUGUCACAAUGUGUUAAGCUAGACCUCUUAUUGCCUUAGCAAAUGUUUAGUUCUUAUUCCUGCAAAUGCUGGUGCAAGAUGGUUGGCUCUCCAGACAGCAGUUGAUCUUGUGAAUUAGUCAUCUCAGCAUGUUUCUCCAAGAGACCACAGCAGGGGAAUCGAGAAGGGGAGGGUCACAUACUUGAUCUUAUAUAUUCUGAUGCAGAAGUGAUAGGUGUUAUUUCUGCUCACAGCUCCUGGGCCUGAACAGUCAUGUAUAAUUUCAAAAGGACUAGAAAAUACUCUGGAGCAUAUGCUACUUGGUGAGUUGCAAAUGUCUCUAUUAUAUCAAGCUAUGAUAAACUUUGAAUUUGCUUCUAACAGAUAUAGUUCACACCACUAAAUUACAUAUCUUGAAUCUUCUUUGAAUCCUAUGUUGGUAUUUUCUAGAAUAGUAUCUAACAUAGAGUAAGCAUUCAAUAAAUAUGCUCAAAAGACCAUUUAGAUCUUCAAUUUUCACUUUAUCAUGAAAUUUUUGUUACCAUGCAUCCACUGUUACCACAUCAGGAAUGUGUAACUGCAAAUACAACUGCAAAGAAAUUUUACCUGAUAAGAUACUCAUUCUGCCUUCAAUAUUUUUAGUUUUAUUUGGAUGAGGGUUUUUUGGUUUUGGUUUUGAUUGCGGGGGGUAGGGGGUGGUGGUGGUGUGCAUGUGUGUGUAGAAAUUUUGGCUUUGUUUUCUUCUCUAGAGAAGGGUUUCAUUCUCAAUCCUCAUUGGCAUUAGAACAACAGUUGUGUACAUAUGCAGUGACAAUGGUUCAAAUUCUUUGGGGAAUCUGCCAGGAAGUGUCUGACAUCAAGUUAUACCACCAAUGUCUAUUUGUGUAAAUCAUAUUUAUAACUUUCAAGUAUGAUAUUUUAUUUUUGAUGAAUUCUGUAGGUUCUGUAAGAGUUCCUUGCAUGAACUGUGAAGAGGAGACCUUGAAUUGUGUCUCGUCACUAUCACUUUGAUUGUGACCAAGUUAAUUAAUAUUUUUGUGUUUAGGUUUCCUCAUCUUUCAAAUAAAGAUGUCUAUUUAUAUUGCUUCAUAUUGCUAAUUAUAUUAUAUAUAAUUCAAAUGAUGUAUUUCAUAUGUGUGUCUAUAGUAUUCUUAAUAUGGUCAUUUUUAUGAACAUUAUCAUUAUCCAUCCUCUGGCCCACAUUCUGUCUAAAAUGAAGUCACCUUCUGUAUAAAACAAGCUGGUAAGAAAAUUUUGGAAUAUUUAUUUGUAUCUAUUCAUUCCCCAUUUUCCCCAAUAAACACUAAUAUCUUGAGAAUUCCUGUCUAAGAUAUAGAUACAACAUAAAUAUAUAUUGAAUGAGUAAAUAAUGUUCUAAUGACAAAUGUAACUUUAGUAUCUCAACAUUUUAAUAUAAAUCAGAUGUUUAGAUUGCACAUAUUUCAGUUGACUUUUCUACUUGUUUCAAAUUAAGAUCAAAAAAAUUGUCAGCAUGUAAAAUCUUGAAUGUGGAAUGAAUAAUAAA